RNAcentral lists this long non-coding RNA (251 nucleotides) under Olea europaea (common olive). Its description in RNAcentral is "long non-coding RNA (OEUR_LNC003972)". Lineage: Eukaryota; Viridiplantae; Streptophyta; Magnoliopsida; Lamiales; Oleaceae. The record is from RNAcentral.
GAGAAUAAAGCCCAAUUGGAGGAUCCCCAAAUCAGAUAGCCCAAAGAACGAAAUCCAAUUGAACGAAUCAAGGUGAAUGCCCAAAUAAGGGGCCCAAUAGUGCGGUAACGCCAUCGUCCAAGUUUGCAAGUCGCUCAGAGUCUGAACGAAUAGAGUGGCAUACGGUCGUCCAAAGUCUCGCCCAAAUCUUCAAGUCGCCCAAGGUAUCAACAAACAUAACGCAUUAUGAUGCAGUUAUUAAGGCAGUUGCU